Molecule: long non-coding RNA, 408 nt
Filed under: Androctonus crassicauda
Lineage: Eukaryota; Metazoa; Arthropoda; Arachnida; Scorpiones; Buthidae
Source: RNAcentral
UAUUAAUUUAAAAUAUAUUUCCCAGAAAUCGAUCAAAAUAAAAAUUGAAAUUUUCUGGAAAAUCUUGUUUGUCUUGGAGACUAUUUGCCACCCCUCUGCGAGUGGUGCCUGAGACAUGAUAGAUCCCCUUGCCCCCCUUCGCUACGCUACUGCCCAUACACAAGAACAAUCCUGGACAUGCAUAAUGUCUAACUCAUACUCAAUCCCAAUGCAAUCACUUAGAAAACCACUUGGAAAGAAAAUCCUCACAUUACCAUAUACUAGACUCAAUACCACAUACUAUAUGAUAAAGAAUAUCAAACCCCCACCCAACUACAUAAAUGCUCCAGGGUAUACACUAUACCAAGAUACAACGCACCCUUCAACAACAUGAAAUAUAUAUACACAGUACAAUAAAGGCUUUAGCAG